This 244-nucleotide unclassified non-coding RNA is filed under the name uncultured fungus. RNAcentral's name for it is "sequence contains ITS1, 5.8S rRNA gene". Lineage: Eukaryota; Fungi. The record is from RNAcentral.
CCGAGUUAGGGUCCCCCUCGCGGGGCCCGACCUCCCAACCCCGUGUCUAACAAACCUGUACGUGUUGCUUCGGCGGACCGGCGUCGUGUUCGCGCACGACUCGCCGCCGGGGGAGUCCCCGGCCGUUCACGCGGCCGGCCCCUGGAGAGCGUCCGUCGACGGCCCAACCAAACAAACUCCCAAAACCAAAAUAUAUGAAUCAUUACCUUCUGAAUCAGACCUUUUGAUAUACCAAUCAAAAACA